RNAcentral lists this long non-coding RNA (824 nucleotides) under Salvia miltiorrhiza (redroot sage). RNAcentral describes it as "long non-coding RNA (SMIL_LNC007329)". The record is from RNAcentral. Lineage: Eukaryota; Viridiplantae; Streptophyta; Magnoliopsida; Lamiales; Lamiaceae.
UGAAUAAGUGAGCAAAAGUAAUCGAAUAUCAACUUCAAAUAUUAUUCAGUAAUGAAUAUCACACAAUAAGUUCUGAAUAACUAUUAUUCAGUUAUGAAUAAGUGAGUAAAAGUAAUUGAAUAUCUACUUCAACACUAUGAAUAGUUGUUCAACUCAUUCUGAAGCCACAAAUUCUGUUUGCAUAUCCCUUUUUCAGACGAGCACCCAUCCCACCUUAAAACCUUUCACUAAACCAGUCAUCUUGUCUUGCUCGUGGAAUCAGACUCUUCCAUACACCAAAUGCAGCCUAAUCAAUAAAUCACAAAUCAAAAAAAAUACAGAAUUCAACUUCAGAAAACACAAAAUUAAUAAAUUUGUACGAAAUAAGAAGCCACUACUACAAUACUACCAAAAACAAAAACAAAAAAUAAUACUAGUAAGUUUGAACACCAACUAACCACAAAAAAUAUAAAAUCAAGCUCCAAUCGAUCAAGAGAAAGAGAAAGAAAACCAGAAGUUCAUUAAUCUACAACGCGUCGGAACGGGGCCAAGACCUUAAUCGGAGAAACUCUUCCUCUUCGGAGAGAUACCAAUCGCCAAAGAAAAAAUUGUGAAUAUUAGAAAAAUCGAAGGUGGUGUGCCGAGGUGGCUGGCGGCGGCCAUCUUAGCCGGGGUAGAAGGGCGGCGACGCCCUGUUCGUGUGUGUGUCUGUGUUCGUAUGAGUGUGUGUGAUUGUGUGUGUUGGUGUGUGUACAGAGUCGUGAAUGAAUGAAAAAAUGGUGGGUGGGUGAAUAAAAGCCUAUAAUUAUGGGAGUAAAUCUAGGAAUUGUAGUUUUUAAAUAAAU